Molecule: ribosomal RNA, 348 nt
Filed under: uncultured Thauera sp.
Lineage: Bacteria; Pseudomonadati; Pseudomonadota; Betaproteobacteria; Rhodocyclales; Zoogloeaceae
Description: bacterial SSU rRNA
Rfam family: Bacterial small subunit ribosomal RNA
Source: RNAcentral
AACACAGGUGCUGCAUGGCUGCGUCAGCUCGUGUCGUGAGAUGCUGGUUAAGUCCCGCAACGAGCGCAACCCUUGUCACUAGUUGCCAUCAUUUAGUUGGGCACUCUAGUGAGACUGCCGGUGACAAACCGGAGGAAGGUGGGGAUGACGUCAAGUCCUCAUGGCCCUUAUGGGUAGGGCUUCACACGUCAUACAAUGGUCGGUACAGAGGGUUGCCAAGCCGCGAGGUGGAGCCAAUCCCUUAAAGCCGAUCGUAGUCCGGAUCGUAGUCUGCAACUCGACUACGUGAAGUCGGAAUCGCUAGUAAUCGCAGAUCAGCAUGCUGCGGUGAAUACGUUCCCGGGUCUU